CGAUUUACUUGGGGAUAUAUAUAAUCAUAAGUAUUUUGGGGGGGGACUAUUAAGUAAUCUUAAGUGGGUGGGAUUAGUUAAAAAGCAUGAUACUAUUAGAUACCGCUAUAAGUAAACAUGUGCACCUCCUUGUGAUUCUUUCCUCUAUAAUUGCUACCCCUAAAGAUUUCAGAUAAACUUGAAGGGAACUGCAGGGAGAUCAACCUUUUGGGGGCUGUUGGACACGGAUAGAAAUUAGUGGGAGAAAGUUCAGGGAUGAUUGGAUAAAAAUAAUCUAAUAGAGGCUCUUUGCCCUGAGGAUUAACUCCGGGGAUUGAGAUUGUAAGCAGUCUUUAGAGAGUUAAGAUAGAUAGAUGCCCUUUGAGAAAUUGUUGCUGGAGUGAUAUUGAUAACUAUAGAUGGUA
Molecule: long non-coding RNA, 404 nt
Filed under: Bos taurus (domestic cattle)
Lineage: Eukaryota; Metazoa; Chordata; Mammalia; Artiodactyla; Bovidae
Description: long non-coding RNA NONBTAT019218
Source: RNAcentral